GUGUGGUAAGACAAGAGAGAAUGUUAGCAACCCCCCGGAUAAGGAUGCAAGUGGUCCUAGUGGCCUUUUCAACACAAUGAUUUCAAGGCAGUCGUUUCGACAAAGCAGUUUGAAGGCAAUGGUUU
Molecule: small nuclear RNA, 125 nt
Organism: Equus asinus (donkey)
Lineage: Eukaryota; Metazoa; Chordata; Mammalia; Perissodactyla; Equidae
Source: Ensembl